UUUGAAUGAAGUUUGUGAUAUUCAAACCAGCGCUUUAUAAAUCAGAUUUUCAAUUUUUCCGCUGCGUAUUUUCGAAAAAGAUUUUAUAAAGGCAGAGUUAAUUAAAUAACGGGUUUGGGUGUUACAAUAUUAACUAAAAAAGCAUGGAAAAAUUAUAAAGGACCAGGUAACUUUUUUAAUACACUAUGGGCGAGUUCAGUAGACCCGUUGGAUACUGAUACUGAAUGGUAGUUGAUUCUCAUACUUGUGCCUAUAGUCACAACCAACUGUUUGCUUUUUGAACAACUGUUUUACAAUAAUGGGCAUGAGAAACAGCUAAGCUGUCUAAAAGAAUGUUAUAUUUUCUUAUGCUUUUAUCAACUGUACUAUUUUCUGGAG
RNAcentral lists this long non-coding RNA (378 nucleotides) under Trifolium pratense (red clover). RNAcentral describes it as "long non-coding RNA (TPRA_LNC011384)". The record is from RNAcentral. Lineage: Eukaryota; Viridiplantae; Streptophyta; Magnoliopsida; Fabales; Fabaceae.